This 301-nucleotide ribosomal RNA is filed under the name uncultured bacterium. Its description in RNAcentral is "partial 16S ribosomal RNA". It matches the Rfam family "Bacterial small subunit ribosomal RNA", at positions 509 to 807 of the family's 1533-position model. The record is from RNAcentral.
CAGCCGCCGCGGUAAUACAGAGGGUGCGAGCGUUAAUCGGAUUUACUGGGCGUAAAGCGUGCGUAGGCGGCUUCUUAAGUUGGAUGUGAAAUCCCUGAGCUUAACUUAGGAAUUGCAUUCGAUACUGGGAAGCUAGAGUAUGUGAGAGGAUGGUAGAAUUCCAGGUGUAGCGGUGAAAUGCGUAGAGAUCUGGAGGAAUACCGAUGGCGAAGGCAGCCAUCUGGCCUAAUACUGACGCUGAGGUACGAAAGCAUGGGGAGCAAACAGGAUUAGAUACCCGGGUAGUCCCUGUCUCUUAUAC